This 92-nucleotide non-coding RNA is filed under the name pig gut metagenome. RNAcentral's name for it is "SAM riboswitch (S box leader)". It matches the Rfam family "SAM riboswitch aptamer (S box leader)". Rfam says of the family: The SAM riboswitch is found upstream of a number of genes which code for proteins involved in methionine or cysteine biosynthesis in Gram-positive bacteria. The SAM riboswitch acts at the level of transcription termination control. The record is from RNAcentral.
CUCAUUUAGAGUGAUGGAGGGAAUGGGCCCUAUGAAAUCCAGCAACCUUUAAAAGGUGCUAAAUCCCACAGACGAAAGUCUGAAAGAUGAGA